This 253-nucleotide ribosomal RNA is filed under the name uncultured bacterium. RNAcentral describes it as "partial 16S ribosomal RNA". It matches the Rfam family "Bacterial small subunit ribosomal RNA", at positions 524 to 776 of the family's 1533-position model. The record is from RNAcentral.
UACGAAGGGUGCAAGCGUUACUCGGAAUUGCUGGGCGUAAAGCGUGCGUAGGUGGUUCGUUAAGUCUGAUGUGAAAGCCCUGGGCUCAACCUGGGAAUGGCAUUGGAAACUGGCGACCUAGAGUGCGGUAGAGGGUAGUGGAAUUCCCGGUGUAGCAGUGAAAUGCGUAGAGAUCGGGAGGAACAUCCGUGGCGAAGGCGACUACCUGGACCAGCACUGACACUGAGGCACGAAAGCGUGGGGAGCAAACAGG